GACGUAGGGCGCGAGCGUUGGUCCGGAUUAUUGGGCGUAAAGAGCUCGUAGGCGGCUUGUCGCGUCGACUGGUGAAGCCCGGGGCUUAACCCGGGUCUGCAUUCGGAUACGGGCUAGCUAGAGUGUGGUAGGGGGAGAUCGGAAUUCCUGGUGUAGCGGUGAAAUGCGCAGGAUAUCAGGAGGAACACCGGUGGCGAAGGCGGGAUCUCUGGGCCAUUACUGACGCUGAGGAGCGAAAGCGUGGGGAGCGAACAGG
Molecule: ribosomal RNA, 256 nt
Filed under: uncultured bacterium
Lineage: Bacteria
Description: partial 16S ribosomal RNA
Rfam family: Bacterial small subunit ribosomal RNA
Source: RNAcentral